RNAcentral lists this ribosomal RNA (475 nucleotides) under uncultured bacterium. RNAcentral describes it as "bacterial SSU rRNA". It matches the Rfam family "Bacterial small subunit ribosomal RNA", at positions 355 to 825 of the family's 1533-position model. The record is from RNAcentral.
UAGGGAAUCUUCCGCAAUGGACGAAAGUCUGACGGAGCAACGCCGCGUGAGUGAUGAAGGUUUUCGGAUCGUAAAGCUCUGUUGCCAGGGAAGAACGUCCGGUAGAGUAACUGCUACCGGAGUGACGGUACCUGAGAAGAAAGCCCCGGCUAACUACGUGCCAGCAGCCGCGGUAAUACGUAGGGGGCAAGCGUUGUCCGGAAUUAUUGGGCGUAAAGCGCGCGCAGGCGGUCACUUAAGUCUGGUGUUUAAGGCCAAGGCUCAACCUUGGUUCGCACUGGAAACUGGGUGACUUGAGUGCAGAAGAGGAGAGUGGAAUUCCACGUGUAGCGGUGAAAUGCGUAGAUAUGUGGAGGAACACCAGUGGCGAAGGCGACUCUCUGGGCUGUACUGACGCUGAGGCGCGAAAGCGUGGGAGCAAACAGGAUUAGAUACCCUGGUAGUCCACGCCGUAAACGAUGAAUGCUAGGUGUUA